Onychostoma macrolepis is the source of this 898-nucleotide long non-coding RNA. RefSeq lists it as uncharacterized. The record is from RefSeq and is a predicted model, not a curated record. Lineage: Eukaryota; Metazoa; Chordata; Actinopteri; Cypriniformes; Cyprinidae. The transcript is spliced from 6 exons.
GGAAAUUUGAAUUCGCAGAAGAAGAAAACAGCGGCGGUCUGCCUCGGUUAUUUCUCAGCGCAUCUAUCAAAGAGACCACUGUUUCUACACUGCUUGUGCCCUUGCUGUCAUCUUUUCCUGGUACCCAUGCAGAUCCUCAGUCAGAUACAGAAAUUGAGCAGAAAACCUUGGGAGCAAGCAGUCUCAGUCGGGGGGCAGUUCUCCUCUGGCCAGACGAAACCAGCACGGCGUGGCUUAAUUCUAGGCCCAGACUGAGCAGAGGACUUGUCUGGUUCUCGUGGUCUUGUCCCGAUGGCCCACGAGGUCUUCAGAGGGGAUCUGUCUCUGGGGCUCAGCUGACAUGGUCUCCGCUGACAUUCAGGGCUGUCGAGGGCGAGGUCAUCUCUAGUAGUCCAUGGGCCAAGCCAGAAUUUGGUACCACCAAAGUCGCGCCACGCCACUCGCGUCCGAGGAAGACACGGAAGCAGCGGGGCAGCGCAGCGGGUUUUGCCCGGGGAUGAACCCGUGAACGUGGAAGAGCUCCGGAGAACAUCUGAGCUGUGUGUCGAUGCACCUUACGAGAGAAUAAGACCAGCAAGCAAGCCUAUGUGUUUUAAAGGCAAUGGCAAUGAAGCAUCAAGAAAGACAUGAGCAUGGCAGCCACCCUGAGACUGAUAAUUCACGAGAAGACAUUUCUGUCACUAACAAAGUGGAUGGUGAGCAAAGGUGGUGGCAGCACCUUUUCAUUUUGGAGCAGCAUAUGGGUUUUGCAGAUGGCUAUGUAUUCUUUGGCUGUUUGUCUUUUUCCCCCCAUUAUGUUUCUGUUGCCUAAAGAUUCUUUGUGAGAAUAAAUCCAGAGGACACAACAUAAUGCACUGCAAAACGUCUUAAAACAGGAGAAAUAGUGAAGAUGCACUGU